GACGAACCGUGCGAACGUUAUUCGGAAUCACUGGGCUUAAAGGGCGCGUAGACGGGCCGGCGCAUCGGUCGCUGAAAUCCCCCGGCUUAACCGGGGAACGGGCACCGAGAUGGCGGGCCUCGAGUGGAGGAGGGGGACCCGGAAGGUCCGGUGGAGCGGUGAAAUGCGUUGAGAUCGGACGGAACGCCGACGGCGAAAGCAAGGUCCUGGACUCUCACUGACGUUGAGGCGCGAAAGCCAGGGGAGCGAACGGG
Molecule: ribosomal RNA, 254 nt
Filed under: uncultured bacterium
Lineage: Bacteria
Description: partial 16S ribosomal RNA
Rfam family: Bacterial small subunit ribosomal RNA
Source: RNAcentral